UACGUAGGGGGCAAGCGUUGUCCGGAAUCAUUGGGCGUAAAGCGCGUGUAGGCGGUCCGGUAAGUCCGCUGUGAAAGUCGGGGGCUCAACCCUCGGAUGCCGGUGGAUACUGUCGGGCUUGAGUACGGAAGAGGCGAGUGGAAUUCCUGGUGUAGCGGUGAAAUGCGCAGAUAUCAGGAGGAACACCAAUUGCGAAGGCAGCUCGCUGGGACGCUACUGACGCUGAGACGCGAAAGCGUGGGGAGCAAACAGG
Molecule: ribosomal RNA, 253 nt
Filed under: uncultured bacterium
Lineage: Bacteria
Description: partial 16S ribosomal RNA
Rfam family: Bacterial small subunit ribosomal RNA
Source: RNAcentral